CAAGAAAUUUUUUUUCGGAGGAUAUAUAGGAUUUCCCGUAUGUGCCACAGUGCAAACUCUUCUCUAAACGGGCCUGAAGCCCUAGUGGCAGGAGGUUACAUAGGCCUGCGGGCUUUGCAAACUCCUACGCUCUGCGUGCAAGAAGGACGGCCCGACAGUCCAACUGGAGUGCACACAACGUCCGAAUGGAAAUCCAUCUUCCGAAAGAUGGAAAGACUAAUUAUCGCAAAUACAUUAAGAUUUGUGCACGCACUCAUGGCCAUCUAAUCCGCUUUGUCUUUCUCCUCUGCCUGCCUCUAGCCGCCGCGCUUCACCCCUGUCGCCC
RNAcentral lists this long non-coding RNA (325 nucleotides) under Setaria viridis. RNAcentral describes it as "long non-coding RNA (SVIR_LNC000989)". Lineage: Eukaryota; Viridiplantae; Streptophyta; Magnoliopsida; Poales; Poaceae. The record is from RNAcentral.